UGAUCAAAGUGGUGUAACAUGCAUGUUAGGAUACAUCAACAAUGAAACCAGAUUCUACAUCAAGACCAAAAUAAAUGAUUUUCAAGUUGCUGUGUAACCACAUGAGGCUGAAAAUAUGAAGCACUACAACAUAAAAUAUUAAAACUAAAGAGGAGCUAACUGAUAGUGCCUGCUCCAUAACUACAGAUGUUGAAUAGUUGAAAGUACCUCAAUGCAGUAAGUUCCGUACGUGUACUCUCAUUAUGAGCUAGCACUGGGAUAAGCGACAGGUGAGAAACUUGGACGGCAGCCCAACCAAACUGGAAGAUGACGAUGAAACCGGAGAAAUAAAUGACUUGAGCCCAUUGUGAUGAACUUGAACAGCCAACACAGGGCAUGAAGAUGAACGGGAAGCUUGCCAAAAUGCACAUUGUACC
Molecule: long non-coding RNA, 416 nt
Organism: Daphnia pulicaria
Lineage: Eukaryota; Metazoa; Arthropoda; Branchiopoda; Diplostraca; Daphniidae
Exons: 2
Source: RefSeq, a predicted model, not a curated record